Long non-coding RNA from Felis catus (domestic cat), 772 nucleotides. RefSeq lists it as uncharacterized. The record is from RefSeq and is a predicted model, not a curated record. Lineage: Eukaryota; Metazoa; Chordata; Mammalia; Carnivora; Felidae. The transcript is spliced from 3 exons.
GUACCUGAGGGGAGCCGGGGAAGGCCCAGUCAGUCCACACUGGUCUCUCUGCCUUCAUCAUUCCCUCUGGUGCCCUGGGUCCACCCGGCUGGGUGGGGACCCUGACUACAAGCAGCGGACCACUUUGAGGACUCGAAAAGGUACCGCUGCAGGGAGAGGGGAUGGUCAGCAUCCUCCCAAGGGUGCCGUCGGGCGGAGGGCACCCGCACUCUCCUCCCGGGAUCCCUUCCACCAUUCUCCCUUCACCCCCACCCCAAGCUGCCGCCCAGGAUGCGCGCCCUCCCUGGCCCUGGUCCUGGUCCGGGGGCAGAGGGGUCCGGGUGAGGGUACGUCCACUGUGUCCACGCGCUCCCCCUCCCGAAGACAGACGCACAGACAGACGCAGACACGGGUGGCCACGGGUGCCAGAAGCGGCAGGGAGGGGAGGUGAGGAUUCAGGACCGGUGUCCUCGUAAGAAGAGGCGACUCCAGGGAUGCGCGCACACAGAGGAAGCCGAGAGGACACAGGGGGAGAAGGCAGCCGUCUGCAAGCGGACGAAAGGGGCCUCAGCAGAAACCGACCCUGCCAGCACCUGAUCUUGGACUUCCAGCCCCAGCACUGGUCUAACCGAAUAGCAACAGAAGGCUGGGGUCGGCUUCCAAGGCUGCAAAACCUCGGAAGACCCCCAGGGCUGCGAAGAUGACUUAUGUGUACCAGACCCCAGCUCACCUCUGGCUCCCUCGUUGUCCUCUCCGCCCCCCCCCCACCCCUACCCUCCCAAAUAACCAAUAA